CCACACGACCGUACCGCAAACCGACACUGGUGCGCGAGAUGAGUAUUCUAAGGCGCUUGAGAGAACUCAGGAGAAGGAACUCGGCAAAUUGACACCGUAACUUCGGAAGAAGGUGUGCCUUUAGUAGGUGAACCAUUUACUUGGGGAGCCCAAUGAGGCUGCAAAAAAUCGGUGGCUGCAACUGUUUAUUAAAAACACAGCACUCUGCUAAGACGAAAGUCGACGUAUAGGGUGUGACGCCUGCCCGGUGCUGGAAGAUUAAAUGAUGGGGUGCAAGCUCUUGAUAGAAGUCCCAGUAAACGGCGGCCGUAACUAUAACGGUCCUAAGGUAGCGAAAUUCCUCCUCGGGUAAGUUCCGACCUGCACGAAUGGCGUAAUGAUGGCCACACUGUCUCCUCCUGAGACUCAGCGAAGUUGAAAUGUUUGUGAUGAUGCAAUCUCCCCGCGGAAAGACGGAAAGACCCCAUGAACCUUUACUGUAGCUUUGUAUUGGACUUUGAACAGAUCUGUGUAGGAUAGGUGGGAGGCUUUGAAGUGUGGUCGCUAGAUCCCAUGGAGCCAACGUUGAAAUACCACCCUGGUGUGUUUGAGGUUCUAACCUAGGUCCAUUAUCUGGAUCGGGGACAGUGCAUGGUAGGCAGUUUGACUGGGGCGGUCUCCUCCCAAAGUGUAACGGAGGAGUUCGAAGGUACGCUAGGUACGGUCGGACAUCGUGCUAAUAGUGCAAUGGCAUAAGCGUGCUUAACUGCGAGACUGACAAGUCGAGCAGAUGCGAAAGCAGGACAUAGUGAUCCGGUGGUUCUGUAUGGAAGGGCCAUCGCUCAACGGAUAAAAGGUACUCUGGGGAUAACAGGCUGAUACCGCCCAAGAGUUCAUAUCGACGGCGGUGUUUGGCACCUCGAUGUCGGCUCAUCCCAUCCUGGGGCUGUAGCCGGUCCCGAGGGUAUGGCUGUUCGCCAUUUAAAGAGGUACGUGAGCUGGGUUUAAAACGUCGUGAGACAGUUUGGUCCCUAUCUUCCGUGGGCGCUGCAGAUUUGAGGAAGCCUGCUCCUAGUACGAGAGGACCGGAGUGGACGAACCUCUGGUGUAUCGGUUGUCACGCCAGUGGCAUUGCCGAGUAGCUAAGUUCGGAAGAGAUAACCGCUGAAAGCAUCUAAGCGGGAAACUCGUUUCAAGAUUAGAUCUGCCGGGGCCUUGAGCCCCCCUAAAGAGUCGUUCAAGACCAGGACGUUGAUAGGUCAGGUGUGGAAGU
This 1252-nucleotide ribosomal RNA is filed under the name metagenome. RNAcentral's name for it is "bacterial LSU rRNA". It matches the Rfam family "Bacterial large subunit ribosomal RNA", at positions 1634 to 2874 of the family's 2925-position model. The record is from RNAcentral.